Molecule: ribosomal RNA, 719 nt
Filed under: uncultured bacterium
Lineage: Bacteria
Description: bacterial SSU rRNA
Rfam family: Bacterial small subunit ribosomal RNA
Source: RNAcentral
AGUAGCAGACGGGUGAGUAAUGCAUAGGUAAUCUACCCUUGAGUGGGGGAUAACUUACCGAAAGGUGGGCUAAUCCCGCAUAACAUUUUUUCAUAUUAAGUGAGAAUAUCAAAGAGGGGGACCCUUCGGGGCCUUUUGCUUGGGGAUGAGCUUAUGUCCUAUUAGUUAGUUGGUAAGGUAAAGGCUUACCAAGACGAUGAUGGGUAGCCGGAUUGAGAGGUUGAUCGGCCACACUGGAACUGAUACACGGUCCAGACUCCUACGGGAGGCAGCAGUGGGGAAUUUUGCGCAAUGGGCGAAAGCCUGACGCAGCGACGCCGCGUGAGGGAUGAAGGGCUUCGUGUUCGUAAACCUCUGUCAGGAAGCAUUAAAUGCAUAGUGGUUAAUACCCAUUAUGUUUGACUUAACUUCCAGAGGAAGCCCCGGCUAACUACGUGCCAGCAGCCGCGGUAAUACGUAGGGGGCAAGCGUUACUCGGAUUUACUGGGCGUAAAGCGAUUGUAGGCGGUAAUUUAAGUCAGUUGUGAAAAUCCCUCGGCUCAACCGAGGAACUGCAAUUGAAACUGGGGUUACUUGAGGACAGGAGAGGAAAGUGGAAUUACCGGUGUAGCGGUGGAAUGCGUAGAUAUCGGUAGGAACACCAGAGGCGAAGGCGACUUUCUGGACUGAUCCUGACGCUGAGAGUCGAAAGCUAGGGUAGCAAACAGGAUUAGAUACCC